GCUCAGGAUGAACGCUAGCGGCAGGCCUAACACAUGCAAGUCGAGGGGUAACAGGAAAGCUUGCUUUCGCUGACGACCGGCGCACGGGUGCGUAACGCGUAUGCAACCUACCUCAUACUGGAGAAUAGCCCCUGGAAACGGGGAUUAAUACUCCAUAGUAUCAUUCUUUCGCAUGUUUGAAUGAUUAAAGAAUUUCGGUAUGAGAUGGGCAUGCGUCCCAUUAGCUAGUUGGUGAGGUAACGGCUCACCAAGGCUACGAUGGGUAGGGGGCCUGAGAGGGUGAUCCCCCACACUGGUACUGAGACACGGACCAGACUCCUACGGGAGGCAGCAGUGAGGAAUAUUGGUCAAUGGAGGCAACUCUGAACCAGCCAUGCCGCGUGAAGGAUGACGGCCCUAUGGGUUGUAAACUUCUUUUGAAUAGGAAGAAACUUAUCUACGUGUAGAUAACUGACGGUACUAUUAGAAUAAGGAUCGGCUAACUCCGUGCCAGCAGCCGCGGUAAUACGGAGGAUCCAAGCGUUAUCCGGAUUCAUUGGGUUUAAAGGGUCCGUAGGCGGAUCUUUAAGUCAGUGGUGAAAGCCGACAGCUUAACUGUCGAACUGCCAUUGAUACUGGAGAUCUUGAGUACAAAUGAAGUAGGCGGAAUGAGUCAUGUAGCGGUGAAAUGCAUAGAUAUGACUCAGAACACCGAUUGCGAAGGCAGCUUACUAACAUGUAACUGACGCUGAGGGACGAAAGCGUGGGGAGCGAACAGGAUUAGGUACCCUGGUAGUCCACGCCGUAAACGAUCAUCACUCGCUGUUGACGAUAUACUGUCAGCGGCCAAGCGAAAGUAUUAAGUGAUGCACCUGGGGAGUACGCCGGCAACGGUGAAACUCAAAGGAAUUGACGGGGGCCCGCACAAGCGGUGGAGCAUGUGGUUUAAUUCGAUGAUACGCGAGGAACCUUACCAGGGCUUAAAUGUAGUAUGACCGGUCUAGAAAUAGACCUUCUCUUCGGAGCAGAUUACAAGGUGCU
Molecule: ribosomal RNA, 1020 nt
Filed under: uncultured bacterium
Lineage: Bacteria
Description: bacterial SSU rRNA
Rfam family: Bacterial small subunit ribosomal RNA
Source: RNAcentral